Molecule: ribosomal RNA, 399 nt
Filed under: Phytophthora megasperma
Lineage: Eukaryota; Oomycota; Peronosporomycetes; Peronosporales; Peronosporaceae
Description: partial small subunit ribosomal RNA
Rfam family: Eukaryotic small subunit ribosomal RNA
Source: RNAcentral
GCUUGUCUCAAAGAUUAAGCCAUGCAUGUCUAAGUAUAACUCUUUUACUUUGAAAACUGCGAACGGCUCAUUAUAUCAGUUAUAGUUUCUUUGAUAGUCCCUUACUACUUGGAUACCCGUAGUAAUUCUAGAGCUAAUACAUGCAUCAAUACCCAACUGUUCGCGGAAGGGUAGUAUUUAUUAGAUUGAAACCAAUGCAGUCUUCGGGCUGGUAUUGUGUUGAGUCAUAAUAACUGUGCGGAUCGCGUUUUACGCGAUAAAUCGAUUGAGUUUCUGCCCUAUCAGCUUUGGAUGGUAGGAUAUGGGCCUACCAUGGCAUUAACGGGUAACGGGGAAUUAGGGUUUGAUUCCGGAGAGGGAGCCUUAGAAACGGCUACCACAUCCAAGGAAGGCAGCAGG